AUGGCGCUGGUGCCCAACCCCAGCGUUCCGGGUAUCCGGAUCUGCCGGCCGAAAAUCAUAUCUGACUACCCUUUGCCCGACGAAGAAUCCAAUUCCAGAUCUUAUCUGCUGAAGAAGAUCGGCUCCUUCUACCGCAAGGCGCGGAGGCGGCUCGACAGCCGCCGCCGCCGCGUGCAGGCGCACGGCCUCUGCGUCGGCCUCCUCGACCCGGUCUCCAACAUCGUCAUCAACAGUAUCACCGACUCCUGCAAAGGUGAGCGCAAACGCGAGGGCGAGGUUGUGCUACAGGAGGACCUGCGGCGCCGUUCGCUUGACGGCCUGGUGGUCUUCCUCACCCGCAUGUUCCCCAACCUCGCGGAGGGCCUGGCCGUGCGCUACCUGCGCGUCGCCAAGGCCGACGUCCUCAUCGCUGCCUGCAUCAUCGUGUCGGACCACGGCAUCAAGGGAUUCGGCAACUCCGAGGCCGAGCCUGCCCUCAUCAACAUGGCCCUCAAGUGCGCCGGGCUGGCCGCUAGGCACCCUGACCCCAAGCGCCUAGUCUACGCCUGGCAAAAGAUCUGCAAUUGCAUGGAAGACGCCCUGGGCCUGCUUGAGAUGAUCCAGGAACCAAGCCGCAUCUCGCAGGUCAUCAGGCAGCUCGCCUUUAUGGUUACCGAGGGACCGCCGGCCAGUGAAUUAGCUGUGCGGCGUGCGUGGAUGCUCGCAGAAGCUUCUGUUCGCCGCCGUCCCCGAAGCUUGCAACAACCGCACACUCACUUGUGCAGCCGGACGCUCCAGGACACAAUCCACGGGUACUAUCUCGAGGCCCUCGCUCGGCUGCCAGCAGGCUCUUGCUUCCACCGCAGCCUGAUCAAGGCUGGCCACUGCUACGGCCCCCUUGACCCCGUCUCCAACAUCAUCAUCAACACCAUCUGGUACCACACCGCGUUCCCACCUUCCAUGAAACUCGAGCUGAAUGCGAUUGGCACGCGGAGCCUCCACCGAGUGGCGAACCGCUCCUUGUACGGUCUGGCCUCCUUCCUAUGCACGCGUUACCAUGGCAUUAAUUUCCAUCAAGCUGUGUGCCUCCUGCUCCAGGCAGAUGGCAACCUGGCGCGCGCUGAUCCCUUCCUUGAUCCUGAUUCCCACCUUCCCUAUGGUCAAGUUCAAUGCCACCCGGACACCGGUCCCAAAGAAGCCUUCCUGGCAGCUGCCACCGCAGCCUGUCACCCCAACCCAGACGCUCAAGUAAAGUUUCUCACUUCGUGUAAGGAGGUGCUGGAGACUGCCUUGUCUUUGCUGCGUCGGGACUCUCACAAGCUCUCCACUCAAGAUGUUCAGCAGCUUGCCAGGUUGCUAUCUCCGGAAUCCCCCUAUGAUCAUGACUCUGAGAUGGCACUUCCUCCACUCCCCCUCAAAUCUUACCCCCUUGUGGACCUAGCGGAUCUGUAUACAGUAGUCUCCAAGGGGGUCAAUAUUUUGUUGAAUAAAUAUGAACAGAUGCCAAAUGGGGAUCCCAGGUACGAGCUUCAUACGAUUUGUGGUGUGAAUGAGCGGGUUGGCGGUCCUGCUCAAUGGCCUCCUCAUGACCGUGGCCGCUUUCACGUCAACUUCCUGGCUACUCCCAAAAGCCCCUGUGGUGGAAAACCAACAUUGUUUUUUGCUGAAAUUCAAAGCGAUGGCACAUAUGAUUCCUUCUGUUGCCCUGUGGCUCUGCCUCUGCCAUGUGCUGCACAAAUUCGGUGUGUUUACUGCGAAGCCAUGGGGACUAGAAUUGUGCAUCCAGUUGCGAUAAACUUCCGUGGCCGUGAUUCGGCGUUUGAGAUGCUGGCCCGCGAAAAAGACCCCUGUCAGCGCGAGGAAGCAACCUUGAGAAUCAUCAGCCAUAGACGUCUCAUGGCGGAGAAUGUUCAUUGCAAGGAGAAAGAAGAUAUCCUCUACGAUGGGGUGGAUGGGCACAGGAAUAAGUUUGAUAAUGUGAGUUCCUUGAAGGUGGAAGAAGCUAUGUUAUUGGCACCACUUUGUCGCUAUCUGUAA
Molecule: ribosomal RNA, 2016 nt
Filed under: Triticum aestivum (bread wheat)
Lineage: Eukaryota; Viridiplantae; Streptophyta; Magnoliopsida; Poales; Poaceae
Description: partial small subunit ribosomal RNA
Source: RNAcentral